AGAAAUCAACCGAGAUUCCCCCAGUAGCGGCGAGCGAACGGGGAGGAGCCCAGAGCCUGAAUCAGUGUGUGUGUUAGUGGAAGCGUCUGGAAAGGCGCGCGAUACAGGGUGACAGCCCCGUACACAAAAAUGCACAUACUGUGAGCUCGAUGAGUAGGGCGGGACACGUGGUAUCCUGUCUGAAUAUGGGGGGACCAUCCUCCAAGGCUAAAUACUCCUGACUGACCGAUAGUGAACCAGUACCGUGAGGGAAAGGCGAAAAGAACCCCGGCGAGGGGAGUGAAAAAGAACCUGAAACCGUGUACGUACAAGCAGUGGGAGCCUCUUAAUGGGGUGACUGCGUACCUUUUGUAUAAUGGGUCAGCGACUUAUAUUCUGUAGCAAGGUUAACCGAAUAGGGGAGCCGAAGGGAAACCGAGUCUUAACUGGGCGUUAAGUUGCAGGGUAUAGACCCGAAACCCGGUGAUCUAGCCAUGGGCAGGUUGAAGGUUGGGUAACACUAACUGGAGGACCGAACCGACUAAUGUUGAAAAAUUAGCGGAUGACUUGUGGCUGGGGGUGAAAGGCCAAUCAAACCGGGAGAUAGCUGGUUCUCCCCGAAAGCUAUUUAGGUAGCGCCUCGUGAAUUCAUCUCCGGGGGUAGAGCACUGUUUCGGCAAGGGGGUCAUCCCGACUUACCAACCCGAUGCAAACUGCGAAUACCGGAGAAUGUUAUCACGGGAGACACACGGCGGGUGCUAACGUCCGUCGUGAAGAGGGAAACAACCCAGACCGCCAGCUAAGGUCCCAAAGUCAUGGUUAAGUGGGAAACGAUGUGGGAAGGCCCAGACAGCCAGGAUGUUGGCUUAGAAGCAGCCAUCAUUUAAAGAAAGCGUAAUAGCUCACUGGUCGAGUCGGCCUGCGCGGAAGAUGUAACGGGGCUAAACCAUGCACCGAAGCUGCGGCAGCGACACUAUGUGUUGUUGGGUAGGGGAGCG
This 977-nucleotide ribosomal RNA is filed under the name Escherichia coli. RNAcentral describes it as "partial 23S ribosomal RNA". It matches the Rfam family "Bacterial large subunit ribosomal RNA", at positions 220 to 1238 of the family's 2925-position model. Lineage: Bacteria; Pseudomonadati; Pseudomonadota; Gammaproteobacteria; Enterobacterales; Enterobacteriaceae. The record is from RNAcentral.